This 653-nucleotide long non-coding RNA is filed under the name Gallus gallus (chicken). RNAcentral's name for it is "lncRNA (ENSGALG00010019375.1)". The record is from RNAcentral. Lineage: Eukaryota; Metazoa; Chordata; Aves; Galliformes; Phasianidae.
UCCUAAAGGAACUCCUGAAGAAAAUGGAGAUGGCAGCGUAUGGUGGGACUAAAGGGACUGACCAAGAGACUGUGCAGAAGGAGCCAUUGCAGGAAAGCAGCAGUGACACACGGCCAGUCUCUGACAGAAAAACACAGGCAGAACAAGCAGCUGGAUUGCCAGGGGUGGAUGUUGGGAAAAUCACAACGGCCGCUGUUGGCGAAGAGCUGCGAAAACACCACAUCCCAGUGAUUGCUGUGGUCUCCGCUGUGCUGCUGUCCGUGCUGAUGCUGGCCUGUGUUCCUAUGCUGUGGAUGUGGAAAAAAUAUCUGGCACGCAAGACAGAGCGGACAGCUGCAAGACAAGCUCAUCCUGAAACUGACUGGGAGAGAGAUCAAAACAGAGAUGAAGGCAGAGCGGAGCUGGGGGAGGCUGCAAAGGAGGAUGUCCUCAACCAAGGAAAAAUCAUCUCCAGGGCAUUCUCCUGGUCCUUUGAAGCAAAAUUUGCCUACCUGUGCAGCAGAAUCUUCACAGACCCCUCCCUUCAGCCCAUGCAUCGCAGAAGUGCUCCCAUUAAUCCCAUCUCUUCCUUGAAUACCUGUACCUCUCAGGAUUCCCCUGAGCCAUCCAGUGCCCCUGUUACCGGUGCCAAGAAGGCUCGGGUUCAUUGAAAG